UACGGAGGGGGCAAGCGUUGUCCGGAUUUAUUGGGCGUAAAGAGCGUGUAGGCGGCUUGGUAGGUCUGCUGUGAAAACUCGGGGCUCAACCCCGAGACGUCGGUGGAAACCACCUGGCUAGAGUCCGGAAGAGGAGAGUGGAAUUCCUGGUGUAGCGGUGAAAUGCGCAGAUAUCAGGAAGAAUAUCCGUGGCGAAGGCGGCUCUCUGGGACGGUACUGACGCUGAGACGCGAAAGCGUGGGGAGCGAACAGG
Molecule: ribosomal RNA, 253 nt
Filed under: uncultured bacterium
Lineage: Bacteria
Description: partial 16S ribosomal RNA
Rfam family: Bacterial small subunit ribosomal RNA
Source: RNAcentral